Long non-coding RNA from Neofelis nebulosa (Clouded leopard), 1414 nucleotides. RefSeq lists it as uncharacterized. The transcript is spliced from 3 exons. NCBI's taxonomy places the organism in Eukaryota, Metazoa, Chordata, Mammalia, Carnivora, Felidae. The record is from RefSeq and is a predicted model, not a curated record.
GGGCGCUCCCCUUCUCGGAGGGUAUCCACAGAAACUCUUCUCUGCGGGGGAUUUGUCUCUUCUCUCCCGUUUAUUUAAGAAACGACUUUUUAAAGAGGAUCUUGUAUCUUGGUGCGGGUGUCGGUGCCCACUACGGACAGUGUGGAAUGUCCCUCGUGUCAGGCGCAUGAGGGUGACCCUCCCCCACUGGGUCUCUACGGGCACGAUCAGGAGUCCGAGGUCACCUUGUCAGCAGACCCCUCCCUCCAGGAAGGACAGAGACCAUCUCUGACCAGCACCUGCCCCCGCCCUGCGCCGAGACCGCGGCCACUCACCAGGUCGGCGGACACGGCGGUCGUGAUCAGGGCGUACGGCCCGCUGACCAGGGCCCCGCUGAGCAGCAGCAUGGCUGUGGGAACCAGAAACCAGAAGGAGGGAUUCAGCAGCGGAACGGUGCCCUCUGGGAGAGCCCCCACGGUCUCGGCAGCCCCGGGGUGAGCGCCCUGGUGUCACGCGCGGGUACGUCUGCAAGUCCCAAUCACAGGACCUGCUGCUCCGUUUCCUCGACCCUCAACUGGCGGCGACUGUUGACAGCCUGGAGGGACCAGAAGCCCAGUGUCCCGAGUACGGAUGUGCCAGGGGUGUGCGAAUGCUCCCUGUGGUCAGUGCCGGCUGGCGCUAACCCCAGCCUUGGCCUGCUUUGCAGUGGGAGGGUGUCUGUCUGUCUGUCUCUCUCUGUGCCCGCAGCUGUGGACGGCUGCCCCCGAGGAACACCCGGACACCCAGAGCCACCGAGCUCCCACGGGCAGGGUAACGUGCUUGCUUCUAAAAGGCAUGCUUUCUAAACCGUCCUCCAGGCUCACUUUUCCAAAUUAGCUACUGGUUAACACUCCUCUGUGCAGAAGCUUCUGGACCAGUGGGUCACGGGAAACCCACAGCUCCUCGUGUCAGCAAUCUGACUUCUGGAUGACUUCUAACGGGAUCACACACAGCCUGCCUCCCUCCCGAUCACCACUGCUGGCUGGUUAAAACAGAAAAAAUAUUUACCAGGGCGCCUGGGUGGCUCAGCCGGUUAAGCAUCUGACUCUUGAUUUCGGCUCAGGGCGUGACCUCACGGUUUUCGAGACUGAGCCCUGAGUCAGGCUCUGUGCUGACAGUGCAGAGCCCGCGUGGGAUCCUCUCCCUCUCUCUCUGCCCCUCCCCCGCUUGCGCACACACACGCUCUCUCUCCAAAUAAAUUUAAAAACUUAAAAAAAAAAAAAAAAGAGGGGCACCUGGGUGGCUUAGUUGGUGAAACGCCCGGUUCUGCUCAGGUCAUGAUCUCAUGAGUUCGAGCCCCUCAUCCGGCCCUGUGCUGACAGUGCAGAGCCUGCUUGGGAUUCUCUCCCCCUUCUCUCUCUCCCCCUGCUCUCUCUGUCCCUGCUCUCUCUCUCUC